UCUAACCACAUGUUGUCAAGAGUGCCCUUUCUCCCACAUGUUACAGACCACUUGCCCCCAUUUGCACAUUCAGGAUCUUCCCACUUGGGUUCUAUCCCGGUUUUGAAACAAUGGAAAUCAGCAUUUGCUGGCAACUUGCUGGGACGAAAUAUCUGAUCAUACAAGCUAAGAAAGAAAAAAGACAAACACACAUCAACUAGAUUAUCAAUGUUAUACAAAGAAUGGAGUCACCGGACUAUAUGGAGUAUAAGCAGGUUUUCAAGCAAAUUCAAGAAGGGGAGACUGAUACACACCAACAAGAUAUAAUAUAAGUUCCACUACACGAUAAAUGAAUUUAACAAAGCUAGGUGUUAUUUGUUGGAUAAAUGGCACUCUUUCAGCAACUUUUCAGGUGUAAUUUUCUGGUGGCUGGAUGUUACCCAGACAAGUAUAUAAUUUUUAAUUCUUUCCAGAGGCUGGUACCUUGUCUUUGGACUAGUAAAUAGCAAUUUUUAAAGAGUUGCUGACUAAAUCCAACCAUACCACCACAGUUUACAGAAUCCAAAAAUGUUUCCAAUAAACAUUUAUAUCAAACAAAAAGCUAAACGUGACACUGAGUUCAUUUCUCCAUUGCCAGUCUAAAAUAAAAAACAAGUGAUAGCACUAAACAAUUAUGGUAGUUUAGUCGUCAAUGCAAGUUUUCCAAAUCCUCUCACAACCUGCACGACAUGUUUAACUUUCAUCCAUCUGUAGAACCUUCAAUCACCUCUGGGCUAAGAUGCUAGCAUGACUAGGUAAGAAAGUAAAUGCUGGCCAUGCCAACACAUGAAAUCAGUAAUGAUCUACAUAGUUGAAUAAUAAAAUAUUCUCAGUUUAAAAAGCCUACUUGAUCUAUCCACUCUCCAGUGAUGCAUAUUAGUAUGAAGGCCCAAUUUAGAUACUAUGUUGCUUUGAAGAUAGACAGGCAGAUGAAACUUGCAAAUGCAUUGGGAUGUCAAACUAAAUUUGACAAUUGUGAUUAUGAUAAAUAACAAGAAUGUCAGCAACCUACAAGAGUGUAAGGUAAGUGCCCUUAAACAGUUAAAGCAUUUCAAGACUACCAUGUCAUGAUCAAUUAUAUAAGAAGACUAGUCUGCUGAGAUAUAGUCAUCAAUCAAAACAUCCAAAUCAAUAAUGCCACACUCAUUGAAAUUUUCUCUACAAGCCAAACUAGUGGUACUUCAAAACCAAUGCUUUGGGCACACUGAAAAAAAACAAAUCACCAAACAGAAACCAUAUCUCAAAUAUGGAUGAAGAAAAACACAAGCUGGAGGGUGACAACAUAAACCUCAGUUGUGAGAGGGUGUCACAUCCAAGUCGGUCUCUUAAGGUGUUUUUGUUAUUCUAAAAUCAAUUAUGUUUGACCAUUUUGAGCAAAAGCUUGCUAGCUUAUACACAAUGUUAGUUAUUUGUUCAUAAUAUUGUAUCGUGAUUAAUUUUACCUGGACAAAUACUGUACAAUUCAUAGAAUCUGCAUCAAACAUGUAUUGGUGAAUCGAAUAGCAUCCAAUACUUCGAUGCUUAUCGAGUUCUUCGAUUACAAUUUUUAGACAUUGAUAAGAAAUUGGAGACUUUCAACAAUGAGUUCCAUCAACUAAUAAUAAUAUCAAAAUUGGGCUUUACUUCUCUAAGAUCGGAAAUAGGCAUUAGACCUUGCAAAAUGUCAUGUUCUUUAUAUCUUUGAACUACUUUUGGAGUUUUGGAUGAGAAAUUUGUAUAUUGAAAGCCCUUCACUAUAUAUAGUGUGUGCAUACAUAAACAUAACUACUUUUUCCACGUCCCUGUAACACCUCUUUCUUCCUCUUGUAGAGUCCAAUGUUGUGUUUUGAAUCCAAUUCUUGCUUCAUGUACUCCAUGCAACAUUGACAACAGUAUGCUGCAUUCUACAUAUUAUACAUUAUUAUGGUAUCAUUGUUGAUUAUAGAAUUUUUAUGUUUGCAAAAAGCAACAACAACAUGUCCUUAGUGAGUAGAAAGUAUGUGAUCAAAAGAGACAUGAAACUUCUACUCCUUAAAACAUGAUUUAAGUGAUUGUAUCACAUUAAAUCCACGAUGAGUGCCAUGCUAGCAUGUUAUCAGCUCAGUAACAUUGUAUACAUAUGAAUUAUUGAUGCCAACUUGUAUUGAUGCAUAUCAUAUCAAUUUAAUAGGCACCAGUACAAUGUUUUUCUUUACUUCUUUUUUUUGUUUUAGACUUGUAGCUGACCAUCCUAAACAACCUUAUUUCUAUUCUAGGUUGUCUGAAACUAUUCUCUCCUUCUCUGUCUAUGUUUGUAGCGACCAGACAAGAUUAUAACAGAAAAUUAUCAUUCUAAAUCAGACCAAAGGGUCAGAACCAGAAAUUGUGGCGGACUUUAUAAGCUUCCCACAAAUGUUGUUAUAUGAGCUUCUUGUCUUACCAGCUAGGUGAGUAAGAUAUUUCAACAUGUUGUCGAUAUGUUGCAUGUCACCUAUAUUUUUUAUCUUGAUUUUAGAUUUUUUAUGCUUUUAUUAUGUAAAAAUAAUCAUGUAACAUUAUUUUCUACAGCAAAGUACUCAAAACUAUGCAAUGCAUCACUAGAUUGAUAAUUAGCACGACUACGAAUUAUGGAGUUAGAUUUCUGCAUACUUGUUAUUAACCAAAUUUAUACAAUUGAACCAUGUGUAAACAUUAAAAUGAAGCUUCUGACAAACAGCCUACGUUAUCAAAAAAAUAUUAAAAAAUGAAUAAACAUGCCAAUUGCAAGUCAUUUUACGGUAUCACAUAUUUUCUACGGUAGUGCUUGCUAAAUGUCAGAACAGUAUGAUGACUGUGCCAGCCCUUAAUUGGCACAACAAAAUACAAGAUAAUUUAAUCUCCUACCAAAGUCAAGGCCCCAUCAUAAUUAGAUGUUAAAUGAUGAACUCUAAUUCGGAUGUUGUCAAAGACAUUGUUAAGUAUACCGAUAUGAAGAAAUUGCAGUACAAGAAUAGGAUGAGAAAUCAAUAAAACAAAUGAACAUGAACCUCAUUAAUAUGGAAAUAGGAAUCUUUUUUUCAAAAAGCCAAUGGCACAAGGGAAGGUGUUUAGGAUUGAAAUAGGCAAGUCAAAAACCUCAAAUCAUAAGGUGCAGGCCUUAUUGAUAUUUCUAGAAUGUUUAGACUUCAAGAAAAGCAAUAUGGGAAUAGAUAAGGUCGAAUACAAGGAUGAUAUGAGUGAACUUGCAGUCAAUUUUAGUACAUAAUGUAUCCCAUAUGCCAAACAUACAUAAAGAAUAAUGCCUAGCAUUAUUGUCUUAUCUUAGCGUGCCAAUAUUUCCAACAUGUCUCCACACAACAGCGCAAUGUUAAAAAGUGUAACUAAGAAGAUGUGCACCAUACAUGGACCUCUUAGCUUGAUAACAUUGUUCUUGUAAAGGAUCACCUACGAGCCUCGGCGAUUUUUCAAAGAGACACACCUUAAGGCUCGAUGUGAGAUAAUCCUCAAUUAAGUCUUUUGAAACAAAAGUAGGAACACCGAUCAAGGUAAUUUGAUGACACAAUGUUUGAGCUAUCUUCAGAGGAAUGACAUAGCAUUAUACAUAAAAUUAGCUCUAUUACAAGAAUAGACUUGGAUCUACUCAAAAUGCUGUUCCACUGAAAUGGUUCAAAUAGUUUCUCAUACAAAAGGCAAAACCACCAAAUAAGCUAAAAGAAUAUGUUGCAUUGUAAUCAAAUGAUGCCAAUCAUAGAGGACUCUCAAGCCAGACUUACGAGGUCUUUGGUUGUUAAAAGCAGAAUGUUCAAAUAUGUAAAAAGAUAAGGAGAAUGUAAGAUGCUAAGGGAAGAAAACUCAAUAACUGCGAUGUUUAAAGGGAUUAUAUGAAUCUCACUAUGCAGACACACACCCAGUGUAGAACAUCAUUGCAUGUGAUUCGAAAAACAAUGUAAAAUUACAAAUAUCUCAAUUCGUAGCACAUCCAGAUGCAACUAAUACCCUACCAAGAUAACACUUUAUUCCUUCUUAAAAAUGGAAAACAAAAACCAAGAUUGUAACUUUCCACCCAUAUAUAUAUAUAUAUAUAUAUAUAUAUAUAUAUANNNNNNNNNNNNNNNNNNNNAACAGCUUCAUUGGUUGCUGUCUUAGUCCAUAGUGCAAGCUUGUCCUGCCUCUGGCGCACACUAGCUACAACACCACAGAUUUCCUCACUCUCAUCAAACUGCUCUCCAAUUAAAGCCAUCAACGUGUCUAACCACAUGUUGUCAAGAGUGCCCUUUCUCCCACAUGUUACAGACCACUUGCCCCCAUUUGCACAUUCAGGAUCUUCCCACUUGGGUUCUAUCCCGGUUUUGAAACAAUGGAAAUCAGCAUUUGCUGGCAACUUGCUGGGACGAAAUAUCUGAUCAUACAAGAUAUAUAUAUAUAUAUAUAUAUAUAUAUAUAUCAGACACCAAUACGUUGAAUACAGGAAUCACUGCAUUGUAAGCAAUCGAUACAAAGUAACAAAAAUCAAUAUCGGAAUUCAUAGAUUUGUAAUUAGGUCAAAAAAAUUAAAUAAAACAAAAUUAGCACAAAUUAUAUGAAUUUACAUAAAGAAAAAUCUCGCAGAUAAUAUCAAGUCAAACAAGAAGCAUCGCACUAUAGCAUGACCAAUCGAAUGUACCAAGAAAAGAAAGAAAAAGAUCAUAACAAAUCCUACGAAAAUCACACGCUGUUCCUCUGAAAAUUCAAAAAUUUAAAGAAAAUCUAAAAUCAAGAAGCAUCAUCUAGUGAAAUAACCAAGAUAACUCUUUACUUCUUCUUCUUCUUCUAAUAUCAAAAAAAGGAAAAAAAGAAAAGAUCGAGAAAAUAUCACAUGAAUUUCCCACCAAGAAAUCUGGGACACGGAUCGCAUAGGACUCCCAAGAAGCAUCGCAUCGAGACCAAUCAAGAUCGAAGAACAAAAAAAGGAAACAAAGGAUUCUUGGCAUCAAAAUUUGAAAUUGAGAAGAGAUCUAAAACUAGAGAAAGAGAGAGAAAGACGGAUGGAUUCGAACGAGAGAUAGAGAGACCGACCACCAGAAUUCCUCGACGGUGUCGAAGGUGUAGACCUUUCGGAGGGAGGUUCCCCAGGCGGCGCCCUGCUUGGGUUUGGACUGGUUGUCGAACCAGAACGUCCACUUCCGCUCCAGCCGAUGCGGCACCUUCUGCCCUCCCUCGCCCUCCCCACCGCUCGCUGCCACCACUUCCUCCGCCGCCUCCACUUCCGCCGCCAUCCCUCUUCGAUUCCUCCGCCUCCUCCUCCUCUUCUCUGGAGAGAGCACAAAGAGAAGAAAUCCGG
Molecule: long non-coding RNA, 5275 nt
Filed under: Phoenix dactylifera (date palm)
Lineage: Eukaryota; Viridiplantae; Streptophyta; Magnoliopsida; Arecales; Arecaceae
Description: long non-coding RNA (PDAC_LNC003712)
Source: RNAcentral